CUGAAAUGCUCCUUUGCCCAUGGCUACGUUCCCCUGUCCCCAGAGCCACCUCUCGUGGAUCCCGCAUCCCUAAUUCUCAGUAGUACCACUGCUUCCCCAAAUCCCACUUUGCUGCAGCAGGUCUGGGCAAUCCCCAGCAUGUGGUCACACCUUUGCUAGAUCCCUUUUCCAAACUCCAUACUCUUCUGUGCCUUCUUUGCAGAUGCCAUGGAUCUGCCCCGGCAAGACCUUCCCCCACUAUGCUUUUGAAUAACGUUGCUUUUGUAUGGCGAUGUUUGCCUUCAUCCCCACUUCUGCACAUCCCUCAUCUGCUGCUGUUGUAUUCCCAAGCUUGGAGGCUUGCGAGUCAGUGAGAAGAGAGAACAAGAGACACCUGCAGAGAAUGAUUCAUUCUGUGCCUGUUCGACACCGCUCUGGAUGGAACAAGUCUCCUUGCUGGGUGUUGUCUCUCCCCAUCAAUUCUCAGCAGAAGCUAGACAACCAGUUCUGACCAGAAGCCUGACUUACGGGUGCCACGUGAGAUGAAUUGUACCACAGAUGACUAAUUUUUCUCAUUCAUCAUACCUGCUUUUGGCCUAUAGAAGUUGGGGUAGUGGAGGGGAAUCGUGUGCCAUAUCUUCCUGCUUUCCAAUCCAAGAUGCCAAAGUCUACCGGAGCACACAGUUGACUAGUAUAAAAUGAUACAUGCAGACCAGAAGUGGAAUACAUAUUGAUCAGAAGUUGAGUACGUGCUGACAAACCACCUCAAAAAAAACACAGUAACUCAGUUGGCUGGAUCCAUAUGGAGCUGAUGAACCUCUGAAUGAAUAGUGAAUGGAAAAACUGCUGGAAUCUGCCUUCAGCUUUGUUCCCAGGAUGACCAAUGUAAAAGGCCUAAGAGCAAUACUGCACAGAUGGUGUAAAGAGAUCUGAUACAUAUUUGUUAAAGACAGUGGGGAAGAAAAGAGCGGGAUAAAACGGGUUGGGGAGUUCAUGUGAGAAAAGCUGCUGAAAGAUCAGUGAUUCCAUCACCGAGGAGCUGUUUCACGGGUUUAUGAGCAAGCAAGAAGUAAAGUGGAAUCAACAGGGAUGUUGUGAAUGGCUUUUGUAGUCCUGCUGUCACUGGGGAAUCAUGCACGUCUGCCGGUCCUGAAGCAUUUCUUGGUUGUUUAUGAGGGCUGAAAUCACCUCCUUUCAAAUUUACCUUUUGGACUCUGCACCACUGUGGUUAGCACCGGGCUGUAUAUCUGAGCUGAAAGACAACACCUCCAGCAAUACCGUGUCCUUGGCACUGUGUGGCUUCAGGUCUGACUCAGAUGGAUAAACGCCUUUGGAGGAGUGACUUGAAGUGUAAACCACACUAUCUGCUUUUAAUCUUGGAUUCUUUCCAGCUCCAGAUUUCACAUCUCUGUUACAGGCCAACAAACAGCCCUGGGAUCCAAAAAAAUACCUUUGCAACCACGCUCUAAUAAAUAAAUCUCUUUCUAUUGAUACAUACCUCUGAUAACUUCUAC
RNAcentral lists this long non-coding RNA (1493 nucleotides) under Gallus gallus (chicken). RNAcentral describes it as "long non-coding RNA NONGGAT006477". The record is from RNAcentral. Lineage: Eukaryota; Metazoa; Chordata; Aves; Galliformes; Phasianidae.